GACUGGCCGCUUCUUGCCACCGUCGUCUGUGACCAGGAAAGAAGAAAUCAUUGUUAUGAAGAAAUUGAAGCUGUGCAAUAUUGCAAAGUCCAUCUACAACUGAAUUGCAAAGCUAAGAUCCUUUUAUCAACACUUUGAUCACCAGAGCCUGAGUCUCCUCAGCUUGAACAUCAUUUCCUAGGAAGUAUUCUAAUGCCCUGCAGAACUAUACAAUUGGAGAGGGACAGGAAAAUAUGGAAUUAUUGGAAUGGUAAACCCUACAUCCUUUGG
Molecule: non-coding RNA, 270 nt
Organism: Microcebus murinus (gray mouse lemur)
Lineage: Eukaryota; Metazoa; Chordata; Mammalia; Primates; Cheirogaleidae
Source: RefSeq, a predicted model, not a curated record